AGAGCGAACGCUGGCGGCGUGCUUAACACAUGCAAGUCGAGUGCGCGCCUGUAGCAAUACAGGUGGCGCACGGCGCACGGGUGCGUAACACGUGGGUAAUCUGCCCUUCGAUGGGGAAUAACCUCGCGAAAGCGAGGCUAAUUCCGCAUAACAUUCCGAUGGUUCCGAUCAAUGGACUCAAAGCCGUAAGGCGUCGGAGGAGGAGCCCGCGCACGAUUAGCUAGUUGGUGAGGUAACGGCUCACCAAGGCUUUGAUCGUU
Molecule: ribosomal RNA, 260 nt
Filed under: uncultured bacterium
Lineage: Bacteria
Description: partial small subunit ribosomal RNA
Rfam family: Bacterial small subunit ribosomal RNA
Source: RNAcentral